This 861-nucleotide ribosomal RNA is filed under the name uncultured bacterium. Its description in RNAcentral is "bacterial SSU rRNA". It matches the Rfam family "Bacterial small subunit ribosomal RNA", at positions 62 to 913 of the family's 1533-position model. The record is from RNAcentral.
UCGAACGGCAGCACGGAGAGCUUGCUCUCUGGUGGCGAGUGGCGAACGGGUGAGUAAUAUAUCGGAACGUGUCCAAUAAUGGGGGAUAACGAGUCGAAAGAUUCGCUAAUACCGCAUACGCCCUACGGGGGAAAGCAGGGGAUCGUAAGACCUUGCGUUAAUGGAGCGGCCGAUAUCUGAUUAGCUUGUUGGUGAGGUAAAGGCUCACCAAGGCGACGAUCAGUAGCUGGUUUGAGAGAACGACCAGCCACACUGGAACUGAGACACGGUCCAGACUCCUACGGGAGGCAGCAGUGGGGUAUUUUGGACAAUGGGGGCAACCCUGAUCCAGCCAUUCCGCGUGAGUGAAGAAGGCCUUCGGGUUGUAAAGCUCUUUCGCAAGGGAAGAAAACUUAUGAUCGAAUAAAUCAUGAGGUUGACGGUACCUUGAUAAGAAGCACCGGCUAACUACGUGCCGGCAGCCGCGGUAAUACGUAGGGUGCGAGCGUUAAUCGGAAUUACUGGGCGUAAAGCGUGCGCAGGCGGUUUUGUAAGUCGGAUGUGAAAUCCCCGGGCUCAACCUGGGAGCUGCGUUCGAAACUGCAAGGCUAGAGUGUGUCAGAGGGGGGUAGAAUUCCACGUGUAGCAGUGAAAUGCGUAGAGAUGUGGAGGAAUACCAAUGGCGAAGGCAGCCCCCUGGGAUAACACUGACGCUCAUGCACGAAAGCGUGGGGAGCAAACAGGAUUAGAUACCCUGGUAGUCCACGCCCUAAACGAUGUCAACUAGUUGUUGGUAGAGUAAAAUCUAUGAGUAACGUANNUAACGCGUGAAGUUGACCGCCUGGGGAGUACGGUCGCAAGAUUAAAACUCAAANGAAUUGA